UACGGAGGGGGCUAGCGUUGUUCGGAAUUACUGGGCGUAAAGCGCACGUAGGCGGCCUGUUAAGUCGGGGGUGAAAUCCUGGGGCUCAACCUCAGAAUUGCCUCCGAUACUGGCAGUCUCGAGUGCGGGAGAGGUGAGUGGAAUUCCCAGUGUAGAGGUGAAAUUCGUAGAUAUUGGGAAGAACACCGGUGGCGAAGGCGGCUCACUGGCCCGUAACUGACGCUGAGGUGCGAAAGCGUGGGGAGCAAACAGG
Molecule: ribosomal RNA, 253 nt
Filed under: uncultured bacterium
Lineage: Bacteria
Description: partial 16S ribosomal RNA
Rfam family: Bacterial small subunit ribosomal RNA
Source: RNAcentral